GAUGAACGCUGGCGGCGCGCCUAACACAUGCGAGUCGAACGAUUAAAGCACCUUCGGGUGUGUAUAAAGUGGCGAACGGCUGAGUAACACGUGGGCAACCUGCCCCUUUCAUUGGGAUAGCCACGGGAAACCGUGGAUAAUGCCGAAUACUUCGAGACUUCCGCAUGGAAGACUCGAGAAAGCUCCGGCGGAGAGGGAUGGGCCCGCGGCCUGUUAGCUUGUUGGUGGGGUAACGGCCUACCAAGGCAAUGAUGGGUAGCUGGGUUGAGAGACCGACCAGCCAGAUUGGGACUGAGACACGGCCCAGACUCCUACGGGAGGCAGCAGUGGGGAAUCUUGCACAAUGGGCGAAAGCCUGAUGCAGCGACGCCGCGUGCGGGAUGAAGGCCUUCGGGUUGUAAACCGCUCUCAGCAGGGACGAGGCGAAAGUGACGGUACCUGCAGAAGAAGCCCCGGCUAACUACGUG
This 467-nucleotide ribosomal RNA is filed under the name uncultured bacterium. RNAcentral's name for it is "partial 16S ribosomal RNA". It matches the Rfam family "Bacterial small subunit ribosomal RNA", at positions 28 to 507 of the family's 1533-position model. The record is from RNAcentral.